UCACUUGUGGUUAGCUCAGUACCAUGACUUACUCCAGAUCUUAGAGGAGAAACUCUCAGCCACCCCACGAGAAGGAAGCAGUAGAGGUUCCAUCUCUUGAAUAUAAAAGUAUAUUUUAUUUUUGGAGAUUUUCUCACUUUUUCAAUCUUUUAUUCAGGUUACUAAAAUUGAACAAUAAAUCAAAACAUAGGGAGCCAUUUUGUAUUCUAUUAAAGCAAUGAAGAAUCGAGGUAGAUGAUACAAAAACCAAAUCAUCACAGACUAAAGACACGGAAAACUGAAGUUUUUCUCGACCUUAUAACCAACAGGGUAACCUUGCAUAAACUGUUUAAGCUUAAUCAAAUCAUCAGAGCUAGUGAGACGCUCCAUUAAAAUCUCCACUGUGGUCUGAUUUGCUUCGCAGGAGGACUGGUUCAUUUCGUCCAUUAGCUUAAACAAUGUCUCCUUUUGGUGCACCUCAUUAAGACACUUAAACAAGGCAUUGUAA
RNAcentral lists this long non-coding RNA (487 nucleotides) under Brassica rapa (field mustard). Its description in RNAcentral is "long non-coding RNA (BRAP_LNC005376)". Lineage: Eukaryota; Viridiplantae; Streptophyta; Magnoliopsida; Brassicales; Brassicaceae. The record is from RNAcentral.